RNAcentral lists this transfer RNA (75 nucleotides) under Schistocerca americana (American grasshopper). Its description in RNAcentral is "tRNA-Arg". It matches the Rfam family "tRNA". From Rfam's summary of the family: Transfer RNA (tRNA) molecules are approximately 80 nucleotides in length. Their secondary structure includes four short double-helical elements and three loops (D, anti-codon, and T loops). The record is from RNAcentral. RNAcentral also lists the same sequence under 1 other name. Lineage: Eukaryota; Metazoa; Arthropoda; Insecta; Orthoptera; Acrididae.
UGCUUGGGUAGCUCAGUUGGUAGAGCAUUUGCCCGCGAAACGCAAAGGUCCCGAGUUCGAGUCUCGGUCCGGCAC